This 256-nucleotide ribosomal RNA is filed under the name Enterococcus faecium. RNAcentral describes it as "partial 16S ribosomal RNA". It matches the Rfam family "Bacterial small subunit ribosomal RNA", at positions 255 to 503 of the family's 1533-position model. The record is from RNAcentral. Lineage: Bacteria; Bacillati; Bacillota; Bacilli; Lactobacillales; Enterococcaceae.
AGAUAACGGCUCAACAAGGCCACGACGCAGAGACGUACCGCAAGGGUAAUCGGCAAAAUAGGGACUGAGACACGGCCCAAACUCCUACGGGCGGCAGCAGUAGGGAAUCUUCGGCAAUGGACGAAAGUCUGCCCGAGCAACGCCGCGUGAGUGAAGAAGGUUUGCGGAUCGUAAAACUCUGUUGUUAGCGAAGAACAAGGAUGAGAGUAACUGUUCAUCCCUUGACGGUAUCUAACCAGACAGCCACAGCUAACUA